Drosophila suzukii is the source of this 1127-nucleotide long non-coding RNA. RefSeq lists it as uncharacterized. The record is from RefSeq and is a predicted model, not a curated record. NCBI's taxonomy places the organism in Eukaryota, Metazoa, Arthropoda, Insecta, Diptera, Drosophilidae.
UUAAAACGUAUUUUUUUUCAACAAAAUAUUUUUCGUUUCGUAAUGGAAAUUGUAAACAAAGUAGGCAAACUACGAAACUUCAAGGCCUUGUUCGUCUAGCCAUAGGGUUUUACAUUCAGUACAACACCCGAGCUCGUCCAGUGAACAACUCCGUAUUUUCGAUUUCUUCAUAAGUUUUCGGUUAUCUCGCAGAGUUUUUUUUUGUCAUGAAAUUUCGAGCGUCAGAUCAGAUAUUUACCGUCGUAGGCCAGCAGGUCUUUUCUAUCUCUGUUAAAAGCUUUGGCUACGUGGCAUUUCUUAGAGAGGAUCACAUCGAAAAACACAAUUGCUUUUUAGUGCAUUCGAAACUCGACACGUUUUGUUAACUCAAAUUUAAGGUUGGCCACAUUAAAAUUUUGAUUCACAUUUAUAAGGACUAUAUGCCUAAGUCCAGUCUUGAAUCUUUACAAUUUUUUCUUAUAAGUGUAAGGGAAAAUUUGAAACUUUAGAUUUGAGUCUAGACUUAGACAUGUAGUCUUUAUGAUUGUGAAACAACAUUUAAAUGAGGCCAUUUUUAGAUUUGAGAUAACGAAACUUGCCGACAUUUCGGUAUGGCGACAAACAAUUGUAUUUUUCAGUGGAAACCUUUCAAGGGAAUUCCACGUAGCCAAUGCUUAUAGCAAGGAUAGAGAGGACCUGCUGGCCUAUGUCGAUAAUGAUCUGAUCGGUCGUUGAAAAUUUUGCGAUGAGGAGGUCCGAGAGGCGCUUAAAAACUUAUCGAUAAUGAGGACUUCGAAGAGGAAGGGGUUCAGGAUGUUGAGCUCCAGUUCUGCGGCUUGGCGGGAACCUGUAAACCAGUCACCAGUUCCAUUUCAACUACUAGAAGCUCCUUCAGGACAACAGAGUCUUCGUUCAUCUGGCGAUUCUUGUGGAGUUAAUUUUGCAAAGAAGGUGGAGAGGGCCGUCCUCCCAAUGCCAGGGAGGAUCUUCGCUAUAGUCAUACGUCCAACGAAUCUUCUCUACAAGUGAAUAACGUCCAUCAAAGAGAGAGAAGAAACCUUAUCGAGCCGGCACUGCAGAAAUGGGAGCUUUUUCAGAUCAAAUCAUUCCCAAUAAAUAACAAAUUUUGUUAACAAAUUUUUAACACA